RNAcentral lists this ribosomal RNA (809 nucleotides) under uncultured bacterium. RNAcentral describes it as "bacterial SSU rRNA". It matches the Rfam family "Bacterial small subunit ribosomal RNA", at positions 73 to 879 of the family's 1533-position model. The record is from RNAcentral.
UCUUAGCUUGCUAAGGCCGAUGGCGACCGGCGCACGGGUGAGUAACGCGUAUCCAACCUGCCUUACACUCUUGGACAGCCUUCUGAAAGGGAGAUUAAUACAAGAUGUUAUCAUGAGUAAGCAUUUUCGCAUGAUUAAAGGUUUACCGGUGUAAGAUGGGGAUGCGUUCCAUUAGAUAGUAGGCGGGGUAACGGCCCACCUAGUCUUCGAUGGAUAGGGGUUCUGAGAGGAAGGUCCCCCACAUUGGAACUGAGACACGGUCCAAACUCCUACGGGAGGCAGCAGUGAGGAAUAUUGGUCAAUGGACGAGAGUCUGAACCAGCCAAGUAGCGUGAAGGAUGAAGGUUCUAUGGAUUGUAAACUUCUUUUAUACGGGAAUAAACGGAUCCACGUGUGGAUUUUUGCAUGUACCGUAUGAAUAAGGAUCGGCUAACUCCGUGCCAGCAGCCGCGGUAAUACGGAGGAUCCGAGCGUUAUCCGGAUUUAUUGGGUUUAAAGGGAGCGUAGAUGGGUUGUUAAGUCAGUUGUGAAAGUUUGCGGCUCAACCGUAAAAUUGCAAUUGAUACUGGCAGUCUUGAGUACAGUUGAGGUAGGCGGAAUUCGUGGUGUAGCGGUGAAAUGCUUAGAUAUCACGAAGAACUCCGAUUGCGAAGGCAGCUUACUAACCUGUAACUGACAUUGAUGCUCGAAAGUGUGGGUAUCAAACAGGAUUAGAUACCCUGGUAGUCCACACGGUAAACGAUGAAUACUCGCUGUAGGCGAUAUACAGUCUGCGGCCAAGCGAAAGCAUUAAGUAUUCCACCUGGGGA